AAGGCUGAAUUUGACCAUGUCUGUUUAAAAAGUCAUUAACUUUCACAUCUCUUCUUCACGUCUGCUUAACAAAGUAGUUACUUCUCAAGGAAGUAAAAAACAAAGAACAAUUAUUAGCUUUUUUGUUUUUAAAAAAAAAAAUUAAUCCUUUCAUACAUCCUUUUUUGAAAGUUUGUACUUUAUUAUUAUCAUUAUUUCCUUACUUGAGACAAGUUUGUGGCACUUUAAUUAUUAUCCAUUAUCUUGCUCAUUAAAAGACAAAUAAAAAACUUAUUUCAUAUUUCAGCAUAAUUUAUAGUCUUUGCCCAUGAUAAAACAUAAUGAUGUUACAAUAAAUUUUAAUGUGUAACCUCUGUCUUUGACUGGAAAUAAACCUGAAAUAUGUAUGGUGACAAGUGCUGCAUGCUGCCAUUUCUGGGACACAGAUUUCAUACAGAAGAAUAAAAAGUUGCUUGUUAAACAUUUAUUUUUAAAUUAGGAAAUAUAUGUAUACAUAUAAGACACACACACACACACACACACACCAAAAUUAAAAGUAAAAUCAGAAAAAAUGUCUCUGCCUUGGAAUAAUCUGAUAUUUUAGAGCUUUGGAAGGCGUAUUCAGAUUAUAUACUUGGUUUAUUAUGAGAAAGAAGCAGCUUAAAGUAAUUGCCAGUGUGUAGCAUUGAAUUCAGCUCUUCUGGUAACUGGAGGACAGGCAAGAUUGUUUGUAACUCUGCAAGAAAUACCUGACUUACAAAGAGAUUACUUCUGCAUUCACCUGGUAAGGAGAAAAUUAAUUUCAUUGGUAAUUUCUCUUUUGCUUACUAAAUAUAGUGUGAGUAAACUGGGAUAGCAAAGAAAUUUAUCCAAAAUAUUUGUUUUCCUGCAGUGAAAGCAAAAUAAAUAGCUGCACCAUUAACGCAGCAAGAGCAGUAAACAGCAAGACCCUGGCAAGGAAGUUGGCUGCAUUUUCAGAGGAUUUUUUCAGACAUCCAUCUGGCUUUAUUGAGGUAGGAGUACAAGAUAUGGACUAAAUAUAUUUUAAAAGUAACUGUCAUCAACUUUG
RNAcentral lists this long non-coding RNA (1048 nucleotides) under Corvus moneduloides (New Caledonian crow). RNAcentral describes it as "lncRNA (ENSCMUG00000019751.1)". The record is from RNAcentral. Lineage: Eukaryota; Metazoa; Chordata; Aves; Passeriformes; Corvidae.